CCGGCGACCGGCGCACGGGUGAGUAACACGUAUGCAACCUGGCCGCCACAGGGGGAUAACCCGCGGAAACGCGGCCUAAUACCCCGUGACGCCACCGGAGGGCAUCCUCCGGUGGCCAAAGGAGCGAUCCGGUGGCGGAUGGGCAUGCGGCGCAUUAGCUAGACGGCGGGGUGACGGCCCACCGUGGCGACGAUGCGUAGGGGUUCUGAGAGGAAGGCCCCCCACACUGGGACUGAGACACGGACCAGACUCCUACGGGAGGCAGCAG
This 268-nucleotide ribosomal RNA is filed under the name uncultured bacterium. Its description in RNAcentral is "partial 16S ribosomal RNA". It matches the Rfam family "Bacterial small subunit ribosomal RNA", at positions 88 to 354 of the family's 1533-position model. The record is from RNAcentral.